Long non-coding RNA from Telopea speciosissima, 195 nucleotides. RefSeq lists it as uncharacterized. The transcript is spliced from 3 exons. Lineage: Eukaryota; Viridiplantae; Streptophyta; Magnoliopsida; Proteales; Proteaceae. The record is from RefSeq and is a predicted model, not a curated record.
AUGUUUAAAAGUAGAACAAUCCAUACUUAUCACAGUGAAGGUGCAGGUGGUGGCCAUGCUCCAGACAUAAUCAAAGUGUGUGGUGAAAAAAAUGUCUUACCAUCGUCGACAAACCCAACACGACCCUUUACUUCUAAUACUGUAGAUGAGCACCUUGACAUGUUGAUGGUCUGUCAUCAUCUCGAUAAAAACAUU